UACGAAGGGAGCUAGCGUUGUUCGGAAUCACUGGGCGUAAAGCGCACGUAGGCGGAUGUGUCAGUCAGAGGUGAAAUCCCGGAGCUCAACUUCGGAACUGCCUUUGAUACAGCACGUCUUGAGUCCGAUAGAGGUGGGUGGAAUUCCUAGUGUAGAGGUGAAAUUCGUAGAUAUUAGGAAGAACACCGGUGGCGAAGGCGGCCCACUGGAUCGGUACUGACGCUGAGGUGCGAAAGCGUGGGGAGCAAACGGG
Molecule: ribosomal RNA, 253 nt
Filed under: uncultured bacterium
Lineage: Bacteria
Description: partial 16S ribosomal RNA
Rfam family: Bacterial small subunit ribosomal RNA
Source: RNAcentral